Molecule: non-coding RNA, 1823 nt
Filed under: Pan troglodytes (chimpanzee)
Lineage: Eukaryota; Metazoa; Chordata; Mammalia; Primates; Hominidae
Source: RNAcentral
GGCCGUACCUGGGUGCUGUGUCUGCGGGGCGUCUGGAGACGUCGACGUGGUCAUAGCAGGGCCUGGAACGGGGAGGUCUGGCCUGGACUAGAGAAAUGAGGGGCGUAUCCGCUUCUCCACCCUGGCCUCAGAUGAAGAGGCUCUGGGGGCAGGAGGGAGUCAGACACGUGCAGGGCAGGCGGCCUGUGCAGGGCCCAACCCUCCGGCACCAGAACCUGACCUCCUCAGAGGCCCCCACCGUGGAGGGAUGUCUGGGGGAUGCUGUGCGCUGCCGCUAUGAUGUUUGGUUAGAGAUUAAAGCCAUUUCAGAAGUGGACACCUGCCCAUGUGAUGCAAAGGGCUGGGAACCCGGUCUUGACUUUGCCUGGAAUGCCUUUCGGAAAGACCUCUGUCCCUGAGGCUGAGGGACAGUGCCCGCUCCUGCCAGGUGCCCAGCUCUUAAGCGGUCCCCAGUCUCAUGCCGCCUGCCCCGGGGCCUCCCCCAACUCAUUUGUUUAUUUCCCUGUUGGGAAUGUAUUGAUACCUCUAGGAUGCAAGGACGGAACCACACCUGAGGGGUGGACAGUCAGCCGGUGCCCAGCAAAUAUCUGUGGAAUUUCCUCCACACAACAGGGAAAGCAAUGGAGACAGAAACCUCUGCAGACCCCCGAGGGCACCCACUUCCCUGACCCCGCCCACCUCCCUGAUCCCCGCCCACCUCCCUGACCCCCAUCCUGCAAGCUGGGCCUAGGGUAUCGGUGGCCUGGCUGGUCAUGCCCUGGGCGCCAGCGCCUGCGGAGAGUUCAGGAAGUGAAGGGUUUAUCUCAGCUUGGCCCAUGACUGCGUUGAAGGACAGGAGGGAGCGGCUGUGGCUGUGGCUGGAAUCUGAAGCCGGUGUGGGCAGCCAGGGCCUUUCCCUGGGUGGUGACGAGCGAGGACCAGAGCCCUGUCUGCCCGAGGGAAGGGCGAGGGGACACUCCCCAUGGCGGGGGUGGGAUCCCGGUAGCCGGGGCUCAGUGACCGCUGCCUGGGCCACCGCCUGUGGGGACCUGACCUUCCUGGGGAAACCCAUGGGUCAAAGGAGCUGAGAAAUCCAAGCACCAAGUGGCCGCUAGGGCAGGACGGACGCGUUCGCAGUGGAGAAGCUGGGUGUGUCCGUGGGAAAGGAAAGAAAUGGAAGCAGAGGCUCUUCAGGGGCACCUGGGAACGCAGCCUACACUCUUCCCAGGCCUCCUCCCUCCGUCCACUGUGCCGCCUGGGUCCUGGGACAGCCUGAGGGCCGCAGGCUCCCAUGCAAGGCCCGCUGGGGGCCUGCUUGUCUGGGGCUGAAUUUGGACUUUAUGGGGCUAUGGCUUUAAUUUCACAAUGACCGAUAACCAGUGAACUGAAGCCAGGACAGCACCGUGAGCACCAAGUCAGAAAUUUUCACGAGGGAACCGAUGAACAGGAACAGAGUGUGAGGCUGCCCCAGCCGCGUCCUCCGGGAGGCGCCUUCCCAAGGGAGUGCAAGGCUGCCUGCUGUGGCCAGGCCACCAAAGCACCUUCUUCACUGCCAGGCAUCUUUUGAGGCACGCGAACAUCAGAGGCCCCAGCCAUGUGCUCUGGAGGAGAAGCUGAGAGCCCCAGGCCACAGGCAGGGCAGCCUCUGAGGGCCGGCUCAGGGAGAGUGGCCGGAGCUUCUGGCCUGGGGCAGGUGGACCCGUUAGAAACUGCAUGUGUUGCCUCUGGCACCAGCCACAGCAAGAGAUUCUCUUCCUAUCACACAGGGAACAAACUCAAGGAUCUUGACCUUGCCCUCCUCUCCCCAGCUGGCCGCACUUGGGGACGCUGAUGCCACAAAGGAA